This is a non-coding RNA of Oryctolagus cuniculus (rabbit), 270 nucleotides long. Lineage: Eukaryota; Metazoa; Chordata; Mammalia; Lagomorpha; Leporidae. The record is from RefSeq and is a predicted model, not a curated record.
GCGAUAUGGCUGAGUUCUUCCUGUGCCUGUAGCGCUGGGACAAACAUGAUGGAUACUCCCCAAAGCCGCUGGAGCUUCUGUCAGAGGUUACUGGGUUCUACAAGCAAGUGAGGAACUUGUAGCCCACCAAGAUUUCCUAGACUUCCCGCUGCGGCUCUUCUCUAACAGCAUUCUUCCCAAGGGCCCCUGCCUUGCGAGCACAACCCCACGAGUGGGCACCAGGCAAUGACGCAUCAGCAUCAGCACUUGCUGCGCCCCCCGGGGCACCGG